This 385-nucleotide ribosomal RNA is filed under the name uncultured bacterium. RNAcentral describes it as "bacterial SSU rRNA". It matches the Rfam family "Bacterial small subunit ribosomal RNA", at positions 28 to 415 of the family's 1533-position model. The record is from RNAcentral.
GACGAACGCUGGCGGCGUGCUUAACACAUGCAAGUCGAGCGGUAAGGCCCUUUCGGGGGUACACGAGCGGCGAACGGGUGAGUAACACGUGGGUGACCUGCCCUCAGCUCUGGGAUAAGCCUGGGAAACUGGGUCUAAUACCGGAUAUGACUCCAUGACGCAUGUUGUGGGGUGGAAAGCCUUGUGCGGCUGAGGAUGGGCCCGCGGCCUAUCAGCUUGUUGGUGGGGNGAUGGCCUACCAAGGCGACGACGGGUAGCCGGCCUGAGAGGGCGACCGGCCACACUGGGACUGAGACACGGCCCAGACUCCUACGGGAGGCAGCAGUUAGGAAUUUUGGCAAUGGGCGAAAGCCUGACCCAGCAACGCCGCGUGGGCGAUGAAGCC